UGAAAAUGGCCUGUUCCUGCCUUAACUGAUGACAUUACCUUGUGAAAUUCCUUCUCCUGGCUCAUCCUGGCUCAAAAGCUUUCCCACUGAGCACCUUGUGUCCCCCACCCCUGCCAGCCAGAGAACAACCCCCUUUGACUGUAAUUUUCCUUUACCUUCCCAAAUCCUAUAAAAUGGUCCCACCCCAUCUCCCUUUGCUGACUCUCUUUUCAGACUCAGCCCGCCUGCACCCAGGUGAAAUAAACAGCCUUGUUGCUCACACAAAACCCGUUUGGUGGUCUCUUCACACGGACGCGAAUGAAAUUUGGUGCUGUGACUCGGAUCGGGGGAUCUCCCUUGGGAGAUAAAUCCCAUGUCCUCCUGCUCUUUGCUCUGUGAGAAGGAUCCACUUAUGACCUCAGGUCCUCAGACCAACCAGCCCACAGAACAUCUCACCAAUUUUAAAUCGGCCAUGUCCCAUCUGUGUGGGACCCCACUGAAAAUCGGACUCUUCAACUCACCUGGCAGCCACUCCCAGAGCCCCUGGAACUCUGGCCCAAGGCUCUCUGACUCCUUCCCGGAUCUUCUUGGCUUAGCGGCUGAAGACUGAUGCUGCCCAAUCACCUUGGAAGCCCCCUAGACCAUCAUGGAUGCCAAGCUUCGGGUAACUCUCACAGUGGAAGACUCAGCCCAUCUGCACCCAGGUGAAAUAAACAGCCCUGUUGCUCACACAAAACCUGUUGGGUGGUCUCUUCACACGGAUGCGAGUGAAACAGUAAAUCUUGAUGUGGCUCACUCUUUGGGCCCGUGCUGUCUUUAUGAACUGUAACACCCAUCGCAAAGGUCUGCAGCUUCACUCCUGAAGUCAGUGAGACCACGAACCCACCAGAAGAAACAAACUCCGGACACAUCUGACCAUCUGAAGGAACAGACUCUGGACACACCAUCUUUAAGAACUGUAACACUCACCACAAGGGUCCAUGGCUUCAUUCUUGAAGUUAGCGAGACCAAGAACCCACCAAUUCCGGACACAGUAGCACAGAGGCUGUGGGUGGUUUGACUAGAGCAGGCCCUAAGAAUGGUGGGACAUAGAAGCCUCGUUUCAGGGGUUUGAGGAGUGGGAAGUGAAAAACUAGAGACUAAGAGUGCAGACCAUUUUUUUAAGCCACUUGGUUCUGAAGGGAAGAAAAGAGUGUGGAAGAGGAUUUGGGGCAAGGCAGGAUUUUUCUUAUGAUAAGGAAUCCAUCAGAGAGGGAAAAAUUGAAGUCUGAGAAGAACGAUUGUUCCAAGGUGGAAGAGCCACAUUUUAUUUUUGAUUGAGGGUCAAAAACAGAGCCUUGGACUGCCUUGCGGUCUAGAAUGGGUGUGUGUGG
This 1352-nucleotide long non-coding RNA is filed under the name Homo sapiens (human). Lineage: Eukaryota; Metazoa; Chordata; Mammalia; Primates; Hominidae. The record is from RNAcentral.